CUUUAGCCAAACUAGUAUUAAAGGUCCCGCCUGCCCAGUGAUACAUUUUAACGGCCGCGGUAUCCUAACCGUGCAAAGGUAGCGUAAUCACUUGUCUCCUAAAUAGAGACCAGUAUGAACGGCUAAAUGAGGACAGGCCUGUCUCCUGUGGCCAAUCAGUGAAACUGAUCCUCCAGUACAAAAGCUGGAAUAUAAACAUAAGACGAGAAGACCCUGUGGAGCUUCAAACACCCACUAACAAGCAUUCCUGCCCCUAGUGUAAAGUUUUAAGUUGGGGCGACUUCGGAGCAAAACGAAACCUCCGAGAACAGAGCCACACACUCUUACCGAGGCCUACAAGCCAAAGUUAAAACAACAGACCCAGUAAUACUGAUCAACGAACCAAGUUACCCCAGGGAUAACAGCGCUAUCUUCUUCAAGAGUCCAUAUCGACAAGAAGGUUUACGACCUCGAUGUUGGAUCAGGACACCCAAAUGGUGCAGCCGCUAUUAAUGGUUCGUUUGUUCAACGAUUAACAGUCCUACGUGAUCUGAGUUCAGACCGGAGAAAUCCAGGUCGGUU
Molecule: ribosomal RNA, 561 nt
Filed under: Eumeces schneiderii
Lineage: Eukaryota; Metazoa; Chordata; Lepidosauria; Squamata; Scincidae
Description: Eumeces schneideri partial 16S ribosomal RNA
Rfam family: Bacterial large subunit ribosomal RNA
Source: RNAcentral